UGGGGAAUUUUGGACAAUGGGCGAAAGCCUGAUCCAGCCAUGCCGCGUGAGUGAAGAAGGCCUUCGGGUUGUAAAGCUCUUUCAGCCGGAAAGAAAUCGCGCAGGCUAAUACUCUGCGUGGAUGACGGUACCGGAAGAAGAAGCACCGGCUAACUACGUGCCAGCAGCCGCGGUAAUACGUAGGGUGCGAGCGUUAAUCGGAAUUACUGGGCGUAAAGCGUGCGCAGGCGGUUAUAUAAGACAGAUGUGAAAUCCCCGGGCUCAACCUGGGAACUGCGUUUGUGACUGUAUGACUAGAGUACGGCAGAGGGAGGUGGAAUUCCGCGUGUAGCAGUGAAAUGCGUAGAUAUGCGGAGGAACACCGAUGGCGAAGGCAGCCUCCUGGGCCAGUACUGACGCUCAUGCACGAAAGCGUGGGGAGCAAACAGG
Molecule: ribosomal RNA, 429 nt
Filed under: Microvirga ossetica
Lineage: Bacteria; Pseudomonadati; Pseudomonadota; Alphaproteobacteria; Hyphomicrobiales; Methylobacteriaceae
Also listed under: 1 other name
Description: partial 16S ribosomal RNA
Rfam family: Bacterial small subunit ribosomal RNA
Source: RNAcentral